UACAGAGGUCUCAAGCGUUGUUCGGAUUCAUUGGGCGUAAAGGGUGCGUAGGUGGCGCUGUAAGUCGGAUGUGAAAUUUCGGAGCUUAACUCCGAAACUGCAUUUGAUACUGCGGUGCUUGAGGACUGGAGAGGAGAUUGGAAUUCACGGUGUAGCAGUGAAAUGCGUAGAUAUCGUGAGGAAGACCAGUGGCGAAGGCGGAUCUCUGGACAGUUCCUGACACUGAGGCACGAAGGCCAGGGGAGCAAACGGG
This 253-nucleotide ribosomal RNA is filed under the name uncultured bacterium. RNAcentral describes it as "partial 16S ribosomal RNA". It matches the Rfam family "Bacterial small subunit ribosomal RNA", at positions 524 to 776 of the family's 1533-position model. The record is from RNAcentral.